AGAGUUUGAUCCUGGCUCAGAACGUACGCUGGCGGCACGCCUAACACAUGCAAGUCGAACGCAGUAGCAAUACUGAGUGGCAAACGGGUGAGUAUAAUGUGGGAAUCUGCCUUUUGGUCUGGAAUAACACGGGGAAACCUGUGCUAAUACCGGAUAAGCCUUCACAGGGAAAGUUUUAAUGCCAAAAGAUGAGCCCGCACUUGAUUAGCUAGUUGGUAAGGUAAUAGCUUACCAAGGCAACGAUCAAUAGCUGUUCUUAGAGGAAGACCAGCCACAUUGGGACUGAGACACGGCCCAAACUCCUACGGGAGGCAGCAGUGGGGAAUCUUGCACAAUGGGGGAAACCCUGAUGCAGCGAUGCCGCGUGAGUGAAGAAGGCCUUUGGGUUGUAAAACUCUUUCGUCGGGGAAGAAAAUGACUGUACCCGAAUAAGAAGGUCCGGCUAACUUCGUGCCAGCAGCCGCGGUAAUACGAAGGGACCUAGCGUAGUUCGGAAUUACUGGGCUUAAAGAGUUCGUAGGUGGUUAAAAAAGUUGAUGGUGAAAUCCCAAGGCUCAACCUUGGAACUGCCAUCAAAACUUUUUAGCUAGAGUAUGAUAGAGGAAAGUGGAAUUUCUAGUGUAGAGGUGAAAUUCGUAGAUAUUAGAAAGAACAUCAAAUGCGAAGGCAACUUUCUGGAUCAUUACUGACACUGAGGAACGAAAGCAUGGGUAGCGAAGAGGAUUAGAUACCCUCGUAGUCCAUGCCGUAAACGAUGUGUGCUAGACGUUGGAAACUUGGU
RNAcentral lists this ribosomal RNA (781 nucleotides) under uncultured bacterium. Its description in RNAcentral is "bacterial SSU rRNA". It matches the Rfam family "Bacterial small subunit ribosomal RNA", at positions 8 to 835 of the family's 1533-position model. The record is from RNAcentral.